UGAAAGAGUGCGAAGAUUUCAGUAAGCCCAUCUUAAAGCCAGUGGAUCAGACAAAAAAGCGCAUCCUAGACGCUGUUGAUCAUUUAAUAGUUUGCAUUUGUAAUUUCUUUGCAUGUUAAGCACUUUGUUUGCUUUUAAAUUUGUUUAUUCUGAAUGGGAAGUUUAAUGAAAUGAUUAUGCAUCUUUUAAUAAUCCGUUUGUAUUCACUCAUUUUUAUUUUUU
Molecule: long non-coding RNA, 222 nt
Filed under: Lathyrus oleraceus (garden pea)
Lineage: Eukaryota; Viridiplantae; Streptophyta; Magnoliopsida; Fabales; Fabaceae
Description: Pisum sativum (pea) long non-coding RNA (PSAT_LNC023882)
Source: RNAcentral